UGCUCUCUCUUUUAUCACAAAACUCAACUUUGGUUUUGCGAGUGUAACUGGAAGCUUGAGAUUCCUAACUUUAAGGUAUUUAUGCCAAACUUACUAUUAAUUUUAUGUGGGUACUGUAGUUAUUAUCUACGCUUGAAGUCUUACAGAUUCUGUUCUCCCCCCCUGAAAUUCCCUCUUCUGUUUAAUACUGAUAGAGUGAUUUUGUUGAUCAAAUGGUUUAAAUUCAGGUUUUUUUGGGGGAAAGAUGAGUUAUGUGUACCACUUUCAUGGGUGACUCAAGGUUACUGAAAAUGGGUUGGCAAUAGAUCUCCAAAAGGUAGAGUUUCUUACCCCUUCCUUAUAUUUGUGGGUGUGUACUGUACAUGUGUCAAUGGGUCUCAUUCUGGCCAAAUUUGUGUUAAUUUAUAAUUUAUAAUUUAUAUUUGUGGGUGUGUACUGAUUGAAUGGCCAUGGUUUGUUUUUCUUUGGAGUUUGUAUGAACUCUUCCUUUAUUUUGCUCGGUUGAUCUUCUGCGGAGUACAUGUGGUUUACUUUAUUGCUCUUCUUCCUCACAUGGCUGAUCUUAAAGUUCUUGGUGUUAAUGAUAAUGCCUUGUUCUGCAAUACUCCCUCUGUCCUCCAAUGGAUGUGACUUCCAGGUUUUCUCUGGGUGACCAUUAUUGCAAAAAUAACUCAACAAAAUAAAAUUAUAUAUAGAUAUAUAUGUGUGUGUGUGUGAAAUGAUUAUAUUUUAUCCACAUAAGUAUUGGGAAAAAAUACAAUCAUCUUGGGAAGAAAAUAUUGUUCGAGUUGCUUUAGCUAUCAUUUUACUGCACUGCAUUGAUUGCAGGAGGUAGCAGUAAAUAAGAAUGUUCUUCAGUUUGUUUUUUAUUUAUAAUAACACUGCCAUUCCCUAUUUCUGUUGCAUUGCAUUAUUUAGUUAAUAUAUUUAGUGGUGGAGAAUGUGAUAUUGUAUCUUUAAACUUUUAAUGAAUGUGGAAGUCAAUAAACAUUUUGGUUAGAUCUUGAUGUAGAUUCAUGGGUUUUUGUGCAACAUUGCUAAUAUGAUUUUUUUAAGUACUUUUUGUUCCCAGUAACUGGAUUUGUAAUUUCCUAAUAAAAUUUAUUUGAAACAACAAUAAAACGACAGCUGCUUAGUUGGAUCUCUUGUUUGAAACUGAUAACUAUAUCCUGAGUUUUAUAACCUAGCACUCUCCAUGUUGUGCUCCUCGUCCUUUUAAAUCUCCAG
RNAcentral lists this long non-coding RNA (1227 nucleotides) under Panax ginseng (ginseng). RNAcentral's name for it is "long non-coding RNA (PGIN_LNC014929)". Lineage: Eukaryota; Viridiplantae; Streptophyta; Magnoliopsida; Apiales; Araliaceae. The record is from RNAcentral.